UACGUAGGGUGCGAGCGUUAAUCGGAAUUACUGGGCGUAAAGCGUGCGCAGGCGGUCGUUCAAGUCGCGUGUGAAAGCCCCCGGCUCAACUGGGGAGGGUCACGCGAUACUGAUCGACUCGAAGGCAGGAGAGGGUAGUGGAAUUCCCGGUGUAGUGGUGAAAUGCGUAGAUAUCGGGAGGAACACCAGUGGCGAAGGCGACUACCUGGCCUGUUCUUGACGCUGAGGCGCGAAAGCUAGGGGAGCAAACGGG
This 253-nucleotide ribosomal RNA is filed under the name uncultured bacterium. RNAcentral's name for it is "partial 16S ribosomal RNA". It matches the Rfam family "Bacterial small subunit ribosomal RNA", at positions 524 to 776 of the family's 1533-position model. The record is from RNAcentral.